This 253-nucleotide ribosomal RNA is filed under the name uncultured bacterium. RNAcentral describes it as "partial 16S ribosomal RNA". It matches the Rfam family "Bacterial small subunit ribosomal RNA", at positions 524 to 776 of the family's 1533-position model. The record is from RNAcentral.
UACGGAGGGGGCAAGCGUUGUUCGGAAUUAUUGGGCGUAAAGGGCGCGUAGGCGGCCUGGUAAGUCAGACGUGAAAUCCCUCGGCUCAACCGAGGAACUGCGUUUGAAACUGCCGGGCUUGAGUCCCGGAGAGGGUAGUGGAAUUCCCAGUGUAGCGGUGAAAUGCGUAGAUAUUGGGAGGAACACCAGUGGCGAAGGCGACUACCUGGACGGGUACUGACGCUGAGGCGCGAAAGCAUGGGUAGCAAACAGG